RNAcentral lists this unclassified non-coding RNA (269 nucleotides) under Exophiala sp. RNAcentral's name for it is "partial internal transcribed spacer region". The stretch from base 1 to 46 matches the Rfam family "Eukaryotic small subunit ribosomal RNA", at positions 1786 to 1831 of the family's 1831-position model. Lineage: Eukaryota; Fungi; Ascomycota; Eurotiomycetes; Chaetothyriales; Herpotrichiellaceae. The record is from RNAcentral.
AAGUCGUAACAAGGUCUUCGUAGGUGAACCUGCGGAGGGAUCAUUACCGAGUUAGGGUCCUCAUCGGGCCCGACCUCCCAACCCAUUGUUUAUGAUACCUAGUGUUGCUUCGGUAGGCCUGGUCUCUACCUGCCGGGGGGCGGUAACACGCCCGCUGGAGAGUGCCUGCCGACAGCCUCAACCUCAAAAUCUUUAACUAAACGUGUCUUUGUCUGAGUAAAUGUCUUUUAAUAAAAGCAAAACUUUCAACAACGGAUCUCUUGGUUCUG